RNAcentral lists this ribosomal RNA (292 nucleotides) under uncultured bacterium. Its description in RNAcentral is "partial 16S ribosomal RNA". It matches the Rfam family "Bacterial small subunit ribosomal RNA", at positions 505 to 796 of the family's 1533-position model. The record is from RNAcentral.
GUGCCAGCAGCCGCGGUAAUACGUAGGGGGCAAGCGUUGUCCGGAAUCAUUGGGCGUAAAGCGCGUGUAGGCGGCUUGGUAAGUCCGCUCUGAAAGCCCGGGGCUCAACCCCGGGAGGCGGGUGGAUACUGUCAAGCUCGAGUCCGGAAGAGGCGAGUGGAAUUCCCGGUGUAGCGGUGAAAUGCGCAGAUAUCGGGAGGAACACCAAUGGCGAAGGCAGCUCGCUGGGACGUGACUGACGCUGAGACGCGAAAGCGUGGGGAGCAAACAGGAUUAGAAACCCUCGUAGUCC